UUACGGUUUUGUAAUUGGAAUGAGUUAAGUAUAAACCCCUUAACAAGUAUCAAUUGGAGGGCAAGUCUGGUGCCAGCAGCCGCGGUAAUUCCAGCUCCAAUAGCGUAUAUUAAAGUUGUUGCAGUUAAAAAGCUCGUAGUUAAUUUUCUGUUAAUUUUUAUAUACAAUGCUACGGUAUUUAUAUAAUAUUAACAUAAUUCAUAUUACUUUUUAGUAUAUGAAGCUUUACUU
Molecule: ribosomal RNA, 231 nt
Filed under: Cryptosporidium ryanae
Lineage: Eukaryota; Apicomplexa; Conoidasida; Eucoccidiorida; Cryptosporidiidae
Description: partial small subunit ribosomal RNA
Rfam family: Eukaryotic small subunit ribosomal RNA
Source: RNAcentral